AUAGCAACAGCAGCGUAGCUGAACAUCUUACGGAUGGCCCAGGGCUCCAAAGGCUCGUUUCCUAAGUGAGAGAGAGCCUGGCUGAAGCUGUAUUACCAUUCAUUCUCCAGCCUCCGAAGUCUCAAAGCAUCACUUCCACCAUACUCUAACUGUCAAGACAAACACAAAGGCCCAGAAAGAAGAAUACACUAUCGAUGUUCCUUUUAAACAAGUAUUUGAGUAAAAGCGAUGUUUCCAAUGUGUGUCAGAAAGUGAAUACUUGUAUAUUUCCGCACGGUUAGAGCUGAGCUUUCCGAGCAAAUUUUACUGGGACCCGGUUGAAAGACAGGUCUUGGAAGUGAAAUGAUGACUGACUAGAUGAAACUGCCAGACUGUCUUCUGAAGUGGCUAUAAUAUUUACACUCCCAUCAGCAGUGUAGAAGGGGUCUCACUAUGUUGUCUGGAGUGCUGUGGUGGAGUGGAGUGGCUAUUCACAGGAUUCUUGGAAUGGACUGUAAAAGUCUGGAAUCAAGACUUUGUGUUUCCUCUCUAACAUGUAAAGAGCUUAGAAGUUGUCGCUAUUGCCCUUACAACAAAAUGAAGCUGGACAAACUGAAAAUCAAUGACUUUUCUUGGACUCACUAUACAGCUGAGUUUGCAGAGUAAACCACUACCCUGAAAUCUGGAAAGGCAGGUGCACCCACAGAUCCUCAGCUGAGAUCCAAUUACCUGAAAUAGAAGCUGCCAUUAGGAACACUUAAAAGAGCCUGUUCUGCUGGGACACAGAAUCACUUGCUCCAUCUCAUACAUUGAUGAUGAUUAAUUUGUAUGUGUACCUUCCAAAAAAGAUGGUUGUGUUUGAAUGGAGGCCUUCUGGACAGGAAAAUUGCAAAGUACAAUUAACAUUUGAGUCUGUCUGAGUCAUGAAGAAAUGGAGAUUACUGAAAAUAAUUCAUUUUGGUAUCUUCUUACAUCCUGAGAGACUAAUCUUUCCAAGUUCAUCUGAGGCUCCUCUUCUCCAUGACAACCUCAUCCAGGGAUUUCUUCCUGUCCUGGUGUUUUAUGACAUAAUCACAUCCUUCCUGAGAUAAUGAGCACACAAUUGCCUGGAUACCUGAAGGAAUGGAGACAGCGGCAGAAAACACUGCAGAGAGGUGGAAACAUCCGUUAAUAUUUUAAAAUCCCAUUACUGCUACCAACAAUAAUAAUGGAUGCAUAGAAAUAGAUCUGGAUUAGCUGAGCUUGAAACAGUCCAUCUCACACACACACAAAAGAAUUUCAGAUACAGUGAACCCACAUGUUGAAGCUUUCUAGUAUAAUAAAAAUUUCAACUGUUCUGUUGAAUCAUCUGCCUGAUUGGAGGCUACAGAAAAGAUGUCAUCUUAGGAGUGCUUGCUCUGAGUGAGGCUCAUCUUCAAAUCUGAAUGACCACAAGGAGAUUUGAUUAUACAUGUGAACACCUCAGAAGGCACAGCCCACCCAGAAGGCAGACAGGUCAGGCUGCUUUUUCUUCAUUGCUUGGAUUCAAUCCUCCGGGCGGCUCAGGCUCAAACAUAACUUAAGCAUGAUUAAACUUUAGAAGAAGCUGCCAGGAAGACUGUGAAAUCUUCAUGCCCAAGGAUCCCUAAAAUUAGGAGCAACAACCACUUGGCUCAGACGGUUUAUGGAGGCAAAGGUUUGGAUGGGAUUAGAGAUUUCUAAAUGUGAGUUCGUGUCCUCUGCCAGACCACCUUACUUCCACCAUUCCUCAGCAAAUCAAGAAAAACAGGAGAAAAGACAUGCCUUUCCAUAAGUUAAAUCUAUUCUGUUUUAAUUCUAUAUUAUAUCUGCUGUACAACUUCUUUUGUUUGUAACACCAUAUUGUUGCUAGUAACUGGAAAUUAAUUUUCACAUGCCUCAGCUUAGAAAAAUAAAAAGCAGCCCUGCA
This 1906-nucleotide long non-coding RNA is filed under the name Homo sapiens (human). Its description in RNAcentral is "long intergenic non-protein coding RNA 635". The record is from RNAcentral. Lineage: Eukaryota; Metazoa; Chordata; Mammalia; Primates; Hominidae.